GGGACACGUGAAACCCUGUGGGAAGCAGGAGGGACCACCCUCCAAGGCUAAAUACUACCUAGUGACCGAUAGCGUAUAGUACCGUGAGGGAAAGGUGAAAAGAACCCCGGGAGGGGAGUGAAAUAGAACCUGAAACCCUGCACUUACAAGCUGUGGAAGCACAUUUCUUGUGUGACCGCGUACUUUUUGUAGAACGGGCCAACGAGUUACGUUAAGUAGCAAGGUUAAGCACUUAAGGUGCGGAGCCGUAGCGAAAGCGAGUUUUAACUGAGCGUUCAGUUACUUGACGUAGACCCGAAACCGGGCGACCUACCCAUGAGCAGGAUGAAGCGAAAGUAAAAUUUCGUGGAGGUCCGAACCCACGAGCGUUGAAAAGCUCGGGGAUGACUUGUGGGUAGCGGUGAAAUUCCAAUCGAGCCCGGAGAUAGCUGGUUCUCCCCGAAAUAGCUUUAGGGCUAGCCUCAAGGUGAGAGAUACGGAGGUAGAGCACUGAAUGUCCUAGGGGGUAUUGCACCUACCGAAGACUAUCAAACUCCGAAUGCCGUCAUCUUAUACUUGGGAGUCAGACUGUGGGUGAUAAGAUUCAUAGUCGAAAGGGCAACAGCCCAGAUCGUCAGCUAAGGUCCCUAAAUGUAAGUUAAGUGGUAAAGGAUGUGGGAUUGCACAGACAACCAGGAUGUUGGCUUAGAAGCAGCCACUCAUUCAAAGAGUGCGUAAUAGCUCACUGGUCGAGUGAUCCUGCGCCGAAGAUUUCCGGGGCUAAAACUUACUACCGAAGCUACGGCAUCAGUAAUGAUGGGUAGGGGAGCUUCCCAUACGGGUUGAAGCAUGACCGUAAGGACAUGUGGACAGUAUGGGAGUGAGAAUGUUGGCAUGAGUAGCGAGAUGUGGGUGAGAAUCCCACAGGCCGUAAACCCAAGGUUUCCAGGGGAAGGUUCGUCCGCCCUGGGUUAGUCGGGACCUAAGCUGAGGCCGAAAGGCGUAGGUGAUGGACAACAGGUUGAUAUUCCUGUACUACCGAUAACCGUUUGAGAGAAGGGAUGACACAGUAGGAUAAGCUAAGCACACUGUUGGUUAUGUGUGCCCAAGCAUUGAGGCAGUCAAAGUAGGCAAAUCCGCUUUGAUAAUGCUGGGAUGUGAUGGGGAGCGAAAUUUAGUAGCGAAGUAGCUGAUUUCACACUGUCAAGAAAAGUCUCUAUCGAGGUUAAAGGUACCCGUACCGCAAACCGACACAGGUGGGUGAGGAGAGUAUCCUAAGGCCAGCGAGAGAACUGUUGUUAAGGAACUCGGCAAAAUGACCCCGUAACUUAGGGAUAAGGGGUGCCACCAUCAGGUGGCCGCAGAGAAUAGGCCCAAGCGACUGUUUACCAAAAACAUAGGUUUCUGCUAAGUCGCAAGACGAUGUAUAGGAGCUGACGCCUGCCCGGUGCUGGAAGGUUAAGGGGAUCUGUUAGAGCAAUCGAAGCAGUGAACUUAAGCCCCAGUAAACGGCGGCCGUAACUAUAACGGUCCUAAGGUAGCGAAAUUCCUUGUCGGGUAAGUUCCGACCCGCACGAAAGGCGUAACGAUUUGGGCACUGUCUCAACAACAGACUCGGUGAAAUUGUAAUUCCGGUGAAGAUGCCGGAUACCUGCGACAGGACGGAAAGACCCCAUGGAGCUUUACUGUAGCUUGACAUUGGGUCUUGGUACUACAUGUACAGGAUAGGUGGGAGGCUUUGAAACCAGGACGCCAGUUUUGGCGGAGCCAUCCUUGGGAUACCACCCUUGUAGUACUGGGACUCUAACCAUAGGCCAUGAAUCUGGUCUUGGGACACUGUCAGGUGGGCAGUUUGACUGGGGCGGUCGCCUCCCAAAAGGUAACGGAGGCGCUCAAAGGUUCUCUCAGUACGGUCGGAAAUCGUACGUAGAGUGUAAAGGCAAAAGAGAGCUUGAUUGCAAGACAUACAGGUCGAGCAAGGAUGAAAAUCGGACUUAGUGAUCCGGUGGUUCUGCGUGGAAGGGCCAUCGCUCAACGGAUAAAAGCUACCCUGGGGAUAACAGGCUUAUCUCCCCCAAGAGUCCACAUCGACGGGGAGGUUUGGCACCUCGAUGUCGGCUCAUCACAUCCUGGGGCUGUAGUAGGUCCCAAGGGUUGGGCUGUUCGCCCAUUAAAGUGGUACGCGAGCUGGGUUCAGAACGUCGUGAGACAGUUCGGUCCCUAUCCGUCGCAGGCGUAGGAAAUUUGAGAAGACCUGUCCUUAGUACGAGAGGACCGGGAUGGACGUACCUCUGGUGUACCAGUUGUCCUGCCAAGGGCAUGGCUGGGUAGCUAUGUACGGAAUGGAUAAGCGCUGAAAGCAUCUAAGCGCGAAGCCAACUUCAAGAUAAGAUUUCCCACCGCAAGGGUAAGACCCCAGAAAGACUAUCUGGUUGAUAGGUCGAAGGUGUAAGUGCAGCAAUGUAUUUAGCUUAUCGAUACUAAUAGGUCGAGGACUUGACCAA
RNAcentral lists this ribosomal RNA (2483 nucleotides) under Clostridioides difficile. RNAcentral describes it as "partial 23S ribosomal RNA". It matches the Rfam family "Bacterial large subunit ribosomal RNA", at positions 419 to 2925 of the family's 2925-position model. Lineage: Bacteria; Bacillati; Bacillota; Clostridia; Peptostreptococcales; Peptostreptococcaceae. RNAcentral also lists the same sequence under 1 other name. The record is from RNAcentral.